RNAcentral lists this long non-coding RNA (1663 nucleotides) under Schizosaccharomyces pombe (fission yeast). The record is from RNAcentral. Lineage: Eukaryota; Fungi; Ascomycota; Schizosaccharomycetes; Schizosaccharomycetales; Schizosaccharomycetaceae.
ACAAUUCAAUCAAGAGAGAUUGAAUUUUUGGUGUAUGAAACCGGAAAAGAGAUCGAGUAGAACUUAACUUGAUCCAAUCUGGUGGAAUUUUUUUACAUCCUUUAGAAACUUCAAUGCAGAAUUUGACAUUUCCCCAAAUAGAAAACUCCAAAUUAGGAUAUUCUAAAUAGUCUCUCAAUUCUUGAAGGUGAAAAUCCAUUUCAGUUCUGACCAUCAAAAUACUCAUUUUCAGCUCUCGAAUUUCCUGUGCCAACUCAUAAUCUACAUCGUUUGGCUCUUCUGAUAAAUCAAAAUUGUCAAUAUCCUUGAACAUGUCAACCUUGUUGUUAUUUUCAGCUUCUUUUUGAUCAAACAUUCCCAAGAAAUGAUCAAUGAUAGACGAUAUGCUAGGAAGCUGUUGAAUUAGUCUUCUAAGCAAUGCUGACUUAAAACAAGAGUAUGAAUUUUUCGAGAAAGCAGAUGCGGCUUUAUAAAAACCCUUCAAAACAUGGAACAUUUCAGACGGAGUGCACUACUGUAAGAAAAUGAAACAGAAAAAUAACUUACCCUUUGAUAGUAGAUUCUGGACAGACCCUUUUCGAGAUCGGGCAAUCUAUACAGCAUUUUACGAAUUGCUUGAACUUGACUAUUAGAAUUAAAGGCUAAUUCCUCAACCGCGUCCAGACGCUCGAUUAUAUUUUCUUUAUCAACCAAAGGCUUUUGAAGCCAUCUCUGAAGCAUCCUUUGUCCAAAUCUUGUGUAUGUGCGAUCUAACACCCAAAAUAGGCUACCAACAGGUGUAUGAUCUGUUUGAUUAACGAAAAGCUCAAGACCUUCCAAAGCCUGUUUACUUAAAACCAUAGAAGAAAUGCUAUCAAAAGGUUGAUAAAAGUUUGAAGCAACGAAUAGAUCUUCCAAUGAGAAUUCCAUCAAAUAAGAAAUGGCCAUGUCCAAACAAAUGAUUGAAAGAGAAUGUAAAGACUUCACCUUUUCCAUGUGUAAUUCUAUAAUUUUGCUACCGGACAUGAUGCAUUUAGAAGAAAAGAAGUCCUGCAAAUUCUCCAAUGCUAGUUUCACGUCCUGCUGAACAGCAUGUUGCACACGCACUACUCUACCGCAAGUUUUUUCAGUUGAUACGUAAUGAUUCAGUAGGGCAACCGAUUCGGAAGAUAACUUGUUCGAAUAUAUCAAUUCACAAGGUUGAAAAUGAGAAAGUCUUGUUUGUAAUUCGCUUCUCAAAAAAUCAUCUUGAAAAUGAUCAUAAACAGUAGUUCCAGAUGAUAAUUGUAUGGCAAUUAGUCCAACCUGAACUCUUCCUGAUUUUGCUUUGCUCUUAUCAACAUUAUCUGCAACACAUAGGAUAAAUUGGGAAGCUUGUAGUGUACCAUGCUGUGUUUGCUCAAAGCGAAAAAAGCUAUCAUCUAGAGUAGUCCCCUUGGUAAGCACGCGAGCAACUCGUCUGUCAAACAGAGUGUUUCUGCUAGAGCUAGUUGACUUGAGAGCGGCUGUUUCAGUUUGUCGAACAACAGCAACUUUGAGACCAAAAUUAAUGAGUCUUUCCAAGUGAUAGUCAAUACGAUACGAGGGAACACUAGCAUUUAAAAAAUUGUGCUCAAAAUAGCAACUAAUUCCUAACACCUCAGAGGCUAUUUUUGCAUCCUUCCCAAAAAAUCGGAACUUAUAU